CUCAAACACGACAAGAUUCAGUGGCAGCUUUCAGUUUUGGGCACGUCAAGCCUGGCACUUCCAUCCAGCUGCAAUGACUGGUAUGCAAAUGCGCGAGUAAUGACUCCCAGAAUGCUACUUACACUUACGUAGGUGCAAAAUUUCAUUCACAUUUCUUUUGAAGACACUCUAAACUUUCCGCUGACUGAUUAUGAUUUGGAUCUUCAUCACAACGAAAUCCCAGGAAAAUAGCUUGAAAAGUUUAACCAUUUGGGUGGGGAAAGUUCACGACUUCUCAUCCACUUCUCCAACUCAUCACUCAGCCAAAAAGCCUUCUAGUGCUUGCACAAUUUCAUACGACACUUUUUCACGGAGCCUGUUGCACAAGGCUUGUGCAGUCCCGUUGCUCUGCUCUCUUUCUCUCCACUUGCUUAACAUCAGAAAUUUCUGGAUAUUGACUACCUCUUCAUUUGCUUGAAUCUGCUGAAUGUCUUUCAUUUCCAUCUGAAGGCACUCAAUGGCAAUUUCUU
RNAcentral lists this long non-coding RNA (509 nucleotides) under Gallus gallus (chicken). Lineage: Eukaryota; Metazoa; Chordata; Aves; Galliformes; Phasianidae. The record is from RNAcentral.